GCGAAUCAGUCUUAACACCAGUACUUUGUCCCUCUUUUCAAUGCUUUUGUGUCAAUUAUUUUAUUAAAUAAUAUAAAGUGUUGGGGCAAAUGCCAGUUCAGCAAUGGACAGAUAGAAUUCACCACAUAAUUCUACAAAUGAGGAAACACAGAGUAAGUAUGUACACAGAAGUAUGUGGACACCCCUUCAAAUUAGUGGAUUUGGCUGUUUCAGCCACACCUGUUGCUGACAGGUGUAUAAAAUCGAGCACACAGCCAUGCAAUCUCCAUAGACAAACACUGGCAGUAGAAUGGCCAUACUGAAGAGCUCAGUGACCUUCAAUGUGGCACCUUUCCAACAAGUUAGUUGGUCAAAUUUCUGCCCCGCUAGUGCUGCUAUUGUGAAGUGGAAACGUCUAGGAGCAACAACGGCUGUGGUAGACCACAGAACAGGACCGCCGAGUGCUGAAGCCCGUGGCAACACUCACUACCGAGUUCCAAACUAUGGAAGCAGUUUGGGGAAGGCCCUUUCCUGUUUCACCAUGACAAUGCCCCCCCCCCCGUGCACCAAGUCAGGUCCAUACAAAAGUGGUGUGGAAGAACUUGACUGGCCUGCACAGAACCCUGUCCUCAAUCCCAUCGAACACCUUUAAGAUGAAUUGGAACGACGACUGCGAACCAGACCUAAUCGCUCAACAUCAGUGCCCGACCUCACUAAUGCUCUUGUGGCAAGUCCCCCUGCAGCAAUGUUCCUACAUCUAGUGGAAAGCCUUCCCAGAAGAGUGGAGGCUGUUAUAGCAGCAAUGUUCCAACAUCUAGUGGAAAGCCUUCCCAGAAGAGUGGAGGCUGUUAUAGCAGCAAUCAAAGGGGGGGCCGGACCAACUCCAUACUAAUGCCCAUGAUUUUGAAAUGAGAUGUGUGACGACCAGGUGUCCACAUACUUUUGUCCAUGUAGUGUAUGUAUGCUCUGUCGAAAUGGUUUUAGUUAGAAGCUCAAAAUGUUGAGGCAGUGUCGACAUUUAAUUGUAUUUUGGGUGGCAGGAAUGGGCUUCCAUUAAUACAACUAUCCCAGGCUCGCUCCCUCCCCCUUCUCCUCAGAGUCGUGUGAUUCGCUCCAGAAUUUGAAUGAUUAGCAUAUCACUCAGUAAAGCCACACCCCCUUAGUCCCACAGUUACCAGGCUCUACGUAACAGUAACAGCAGCCUGGGGACGAGACCAGACAGGAACAGGGUUUAGUAUCUACGGCUACUAAAGCUGAGUAUCAGCAGGCCCUGUGUUUCUAUAUUCAGCCAUCUUGUUCCAGUGCUGAGGAAAAUCCUCCUCUUUCUCACACGUGUGUGUGUGUGAAUAUCCAAGUCAUUGUUUUUUAUAUUUUUUAUAUCAGUUCCCUGUUGAAAGUUCGUCAUGUUAAACUGAAGAGUUGAAGGAUCUCUAGACUGUGAGCCUGAUGGAAACCUACUGCCUGGUCAAUACGGUGCCAUUCUGGUCUCAGCACAUAAAGGAUGUUACUCUGAUAGACUGAAGGCAGCACAUCCACAAAGCCCUGGGACUUAGACAACGUUGUAGACACACACACACACACACAAUCCUUUUAACCUUCCCCGCCUCGCAGAUACAAACACAAAACACGCAAUGACAAAACAGACAGAAGCUUUAUGUUUCCGUCAGGAGAAACGUAACCUUUCCUAAAGGCUUAUCAGUGAAUAGUUAAGCAGCAGGAUAUUUACAUUGUCCAAAAUGGCACCCUAUUCCCUUUUAUAGAGCACUACUUUAGAUCAGAGUCCACAUUGGGCUAAGGCCAACGUUAGUGCACUAAACUGGGAAUAGAGUUCCAUUUUAGAUUAGUCCAGAGACAUUCUAAAUCAUUUUAGUUCCAGGUCAGAGUUCAGCCAAUGGCACUGCAAUUCACAACCAUGUGAUCCUGACAGGACAGGUGGGUUGCUAUGCCCGUUUCCCUGGCGACCGCCUCACACCCACCGGCGAAUCCCCAUCGAGCAGGAACAUGACAGAGGGAAGAGGCACUUUUUUGAUUGGCUGGUUUUCAUUGUUCCAAAGUUGUUUUUUAGUCACCUCUUGCCAUCGACUCCAGGUUUGGUUGUAGUUCUCCAUCUCGCCGCCAGAUGGGAGUGUUGCUGUAAUUCCUCCAUCUCACCACCAGAUGUGAGUGUUGCUGUAAUUCCUCCAUCUCACCACCAGAUGGUGGUAGUGUUGCUGUAAUUCCUCCAUCUCACCACCAGAUGGUGGUAGUGUUGCUGUAAUUCCUCCAUCUCACCACUAGAUGGUGGUAGUGUUGCUGUAAUUCCUCCAUCUCACCACCAGAUGGUGGUAGUGUUGCUGUAAUUCCUCCAUCUCACCACUAGAUGGUGGUAGUGUUGCUGUAAUUCCUCCAUCUCACCACCAGAUGGUGGUAAUGUUGCUGUAGUUUUCCAUCUCACCACUGGGUUGUAGUGGCGUCAGUCAGGGCCUGAUGCAGGAAGGCACUUCGUAGGGAGGCUCUGGGGCAGUUAGGAGGACUGGAGCUCUGAUCUGCUAUGUCAUCAGGAUGGGCUUCUGUCUCACCUCCAGGAUAUCUGAUGACAGACAACAGAGUCAAUGAGCAGUCAAUACUGUAAUUUACACGACAGGGAAAGUCCAUAAUGGCUCCCUGUCCUCUAGAAAGUGUAAAGAAUCUAGAUUAGAAGACCCUAGCCGCACCCUCAGAGCAUGUCCUCUAGAAAGUGUAAAGAAUCUAGAUUAGAAGACCCUAGCCGCACCCUCAGAGCAUGUCCUCUAGAAAGUGUAAAGAAUCUAGAUUAGAAGACCCUAGCCGCACCCUCAGAGCAUGUCCUCUAGAAAGUGUAAAGAAUC
Molecule: long non-coding RNA, 2825 nt
Organism: Oncorhynchus tshawytscha (Chinook salmon)
Lineage: Eukaryota; Metazoa; Chordata; Actinopteri; Salmoniformes; Salmonidae
Source: Ensembl